GUGCUCACUUCAGCUGCACAUAUGCUAAAAUUGAA
Molecule: small nuclear RNA, 35 nt
Filed under: Cervus elaphus hippelaphus
Lineage: Eukaryota; Metazoa; Chordata; Mammalia; Artiodactyla; Cervidae
Source: RNAcentral